GGAUUUGUAUGAAUCAUUUCUAUUGCUGCCACCCCUUAAAGGAACCCAUACAUGCAGUCUGCCUUCAAACCUAGAAACCACUUUAUCAGCCUAGACAUAACAUGCUUGGACAAAGUACAUAUCAUUUCUGUUCUUAAGGAGCUUAUAUACUUGUGGUCCUAAGUGUUAUGGAAAGGAACAAAGCAAAAGAAAAGGAAAAGGAGGUAUUGGAGAGUGGGAGGCCUUUCUAAGGAGGCGAUAAAGGAAAAUUUGUGAGAAGAACAGUUAGGAAAAAGGAACAACAACCAUUGCACAGGUUGUAAGUCAGAAGCGUAGUCAGAGUAUAUACUGAUAGAUUCGCAAGGAUAACAGAAAGCGGUAAGCAAGAGGAAGAAUGGUAGGAAAUAAAGUCAUAUCAUGUAAGGCCUUAUAAGCCAUGGUUAAGAUUUUAAGCAAAUCAAUGUUAGAACAUUUGCUUAUUUAAAUGGGUAUUGUUUUAAAGAAAAGAUACUGCAUAUAGCAAGUACAUGUCUUCUGAAAUUAUUGUGAAAAUUUUUAAUAAAAAACACCAUUGUCAGGUUUUUCCACUUGUACUGAGGAUAAAAUGGCUUGUACAAAUUAUUGUUGUAUGAUAUUUCUUACAUGAUUGCAAAUAUACAUAUAUGUGGUCCAACUGAAAUAACAUUUGAAAAUUGGUUUUGAAAUUUAUUUGACAGAGAGAAGCCCAUCUGGAAGUGCCUUUGGAAGUCAAGAAAAUUUGAGGUGGAGAAAAGAUAUGACUCACUGGCGUCAAAACACAGAGAAGCUUGACAAAUCAAGAGCAGAGAUUGAACACGAAGCACUGAUUGAUGGAAACCUGGCUACAGAAGCAAACCUAAUCAUUUUAGAUACAUUAGAGAUUGUUGUUCAGACCGUUUCUGUAACGGAAUCCAAAGAGAGCAUUCUUGGUGGAGUGCUAAAAGUGCUACUACACAGCAUGGCCUGUAACCAAAGUGCAGUUUAUCUACAACACUGUUUUGCUACACAGAGAGCCUUGGUUUCAAAGUUUCCUGAACUCUUAUUUGAAGAAGAGACAGAGCAGUGUGCUGAUUUAUGCCUCAGGCUUCUCCGACACUGUAGCAGUAGCAUCGGUACAAUACGGUCACACGCCAGUGCCUCCCUUUACCUACUAAUGAGGCAAAACUUUGAGAUUGGGAAUAACUUUGCCAGGGUUAAAAUGCAGGUAACAAUGUCGCUAUCCUCCUUGGUGGGCACAUCUCAGAAUUUUAAUGAAGAAUUCUUAAGACGUUCUCUAAAGACUAUAUUGACAUAUGCUGAAGAAGAUCUGGAAUUGAGGGAAACAACAUUUCCUGAUCAGGUCCAGGAUCUGGUUUUCAAUCUCCAUAUGAUUCUUUCUGAUACUGUGAAAAUGAAGGAACACCAGGAGGAUCCUGAAAUGUUGAUUGAUCUAAUGUACAGAAUUGCCAAGGGUUACCAGACCUCUCCAGAUCUGCGAUUGACCUGGUUGCAGAACAUGGCAGGCAAGCACUCAGAACGAAGCAAUCAUGCUGAAGCUGCACAGUGUCUAGUCCACUCAGCAGCACUUGUUGCUGAAUAUUUGAGCAUGCUGGAGGACCGGAAAUAUCUUCCUGUGGGAUGUGUAACAUUUCAGAAUAUUUCAUCUAAUGUUUUAGAAGAAUCUGCGGUCUCAGAUGAUGUGGUAUCUCCAGAUGAAGAAGGUAUCUGCUCUGGAAAAUACUUUACUGAGUCAGGACUUGUGGGAUUACUGGAACAAGCAGCUGCUUCCUUCUCUAUGGCUGGCAUGUAUGAAGCAGUUAAUGAGGUUUACAAAGUACUUAUUCCUAUUCAUGAAGCUAAUCGGGAUGCAAAGAAACUAUCCACAAUUCAUGGUAAACUUCAAGAAGCAUUCAGCAAAAUUGUUCAUCAGGUAAUGAUUCCAAUUUCUAGCUUCACUAUAAAGGGAAAAAACUGUCUGAAAGCAUUAAUGUUGUUUUGCACUGAUGUCAAACUAGAUCCCGUGAAAUGACCAUUUUAAUCAGACUACAAAUGAGCGGUCAAAAUGAUAGUUCAUGGCCAAAGCAAAGCUCAUUAACAAUAAAAAUGAAUUCACCUAAAGUAAAUGGUGAUCAUCAUAAACUUUCUGCAUAGCUUUUUUUUUUCAUUUUUGAAUUAUUAAUUAGCAAGUUUUUAAAAAUUGUGAUUUUCUGUUUCACAAGGUAGAUCAUAGUUGUGAAUCUCAUUUUAAAAUUGAUACCUAUUCCUUUGCUGUGAAAAUAAAGUUUUUAUAUUUCAGCUUUUUAAAUUAAAUGAUGUGAAACUUUAAUAAACUACUAAUAUUUUUAAUGACUGCAACUGAACUUUAUUUUUCCUAGAUGUUUACAAUCAUCCUUUGAUAUAUUUCUAAUACAAAAAUAUUAUUUUGUGAAAAUAAUGAAUAAAAUGGUUGUCUUAAUGUAUAUUUAAUUCUAAUAGUAUUUCAUUACUUAAUCUUUAUAGUUCAUUAUGGAAUCUACAUAUUAUCACUAAAAUUAGCAUCAAAUUAAACUUAAUUUUAAAAUGAAGUACACUACUAGCAGUUGAUUUCUUUGAAACUAAAUCCUUGGCUUCAUUGAAAUACUGCAAAAUAUCCUAUCGAGUCUCCUCCUCCUCCACUUUUCUGUUCCCUUCCCCGUGCUACCCUACUGUUACCUACUGCUGCCAGUGUCAAAGGAGGUGGAGUAUGACUAUCCACUUUUGUAUUCAGUAUUAGUCCUACUUUGUUACCUAUCAGCUUGACCUCUUCUUUUUUGCAAUGAAUUAAGCUGUUCUAAAUGAACUGAUUAAUCUGAAAAGCCUUUGACAGUCUAAAAAUAGGGCUGCUAUCCUGUUAAGUCAGGAUUUUAUUGUCAUCUAUUAAAAUGUUAAAGUUGAAAAAUACUGAUUAGGUUUCAUGACCAUGACAGGUAGGUCUUUUAAUAAUCAGUUGUAUAUAUACUAUCACAGGAACCUCAAGCCAGUUUCUAGAGCUGUAAAUUGCAAAUUAUAAAUGUUAGGUCUGGAACAUUUAGAGCUAGUCGUUUCUGAGAAACUUUUAGCCAUUUGUGUUGUUGGCAUUUGAGCAGAGUUGCAGUUUGUAUUUUAAUUUAUCCUAGAUACUUGGUGAAGUGCAGCUCACCUUAGUUAGAGAUCUUACUUAAACAUGUAAAUGGAACAAGCUGCUGGCUCUCUUUCCCUAAAAUUUGUACUUUCACUUAAAGUUUUUAAAAGGCAAAAUUUUAGCCACUGGGUUUUGACCAAGCAAUUUAUGAAAUUAUUGCAGGUCUUAAGUAAAUGAAUAUGCUGUUUAAAAUAUCCUGCUGUCUUCUAUUUGUGGAGAAGAAUUUAUGGUAUAUGGUGCCUUUGGCCUUUUUUGUUCUUUUAAACAGUUUUUUUAUGACUUGCCCUUUUUUACUUUUUAUUAUACAGAGUACUGGCUGGGAGGUAGGUAAUGUUUUAGUUAGUUAAAGACACUAAUAGAUUGAUUUUAUCAGAUUUCUUAUGCCAAUGCUUUGCCCACAUGUGCUAGCUGUGGGCAUUCUGUUGCUAUCUGCUAUCAACUGAAUUCAUUAACCAAAGAAAUUUUGUUAAAAUAUUGUAAGUUAUUUUAAGAAAUAUCUUAUUAUGAGGUCGUAGGCAGUGCAUGGAAAUCCAUAUGUUACACUAAUGAGAUUCUUUGGUAAAUGAGCCACUUUGUCAUCACUUUAGUUUUUACCCUUUGAAGCAUUUCUCUCAUCAACAUUUAUACACAGAUUUCUUUUUUUAACCAUAUUGUUUCACCUCAUUUUACAGAGGUCGAUUUAUGUGUUAUUGCUCAGAGGUGUAAAUAAAAAAUACUCUAUUUCAUCUGAUCUCAGAUGGCAUCAAUUACAAAACAUACUAGUAUUUUAUAUGCCUUUAAGAAAGGAAAAAAAAAUCCCUGUGUAUUAAACCAGGAUAUCCUAUUAGUUGAAAGAUGAAUACCAACUACAAAAACAUUAAAAUGUGAGCAAAAAAAGUACAUUUUAGAAUUGAUGAGAUACUGUGUUAAUUUGAUCUUGAGUCACUUCACCUUGACUAUGAGCACUACUGAGGAAAGAAAUUCACUUUUGUCAUUUAAAUUUUGUUGGGGAAAGGGAUAAAGAAAUUAAGAGAACUUAUAAUUUAAUUUGACCUCGUAUUCUGACAGCAUUUGAUAUAUUGUUUGAUAAGACUACACAUGCUUCCUUUUAUGUAGUAGUUAAGACUCACAAAAAGUUAUAUGUAAAUACAAUCUUACCCGAAAAAAAUGCCAGGAAGAAUUGAUUACCAUUAUUUUAAACGUUUCUGCAAAGGAAAUAAUUCUAUAAAAUAUGCCCUAAUUUAUUUUGAUGAGGUAAAGCAAGGUAGUAAUAAGUCAGGUUUAUUUAAAGCUAGGUAUAUUUGUAAAGUUGUGUGCUUUGCCUCUCACUUGUUGUCAGAUUUAUGUUGAUCGAACACUUAGGCUUCUGUUUUUGGGUUUGCAUUGCAAUCCUUGUUUUAAGACCCAAAUAGAAAACCUUGGGAAUAAAUAUUACUACUGAGUUUUUCUCUAUUUCUGAAAUAGUACCCAAGUCUUGUUUUUCUUUAGAUGAAGCCAGUACUUUUAUAAAUCUACCUUAAUUCUCUAGAUUAAAUGUAUAUGACUGUAUUAAUACUCAAAAUAUAAUCCUCAUUCCUAUGGCUCAGUUAAGACAUACAUAAAGAGACUUGCCAUGGUUAUCUAUGAAUGAUAAAACUCCUUAUAAAUUUCCUAACAUUAAAUAGAAUUAGUUGAAAAUUAGGCAUAAAAUAAUAAAUUGAAACCUCUGAGCAGUUUAUUACUAGUUUCCGUGAUGCUAAAUCGACCCCUGAAAGGUAUAAUUUUCACUGGUUAUGACAUUAAUAUCAUUCUGUCAUCAUGUUUAUUGCAUGGUAAAAGUCUCACAGACUUUAUUUUCUUGUUAUAUACUUGUCACUACCUUUUACUGGACCUUUAGCUUUGUAGCUGCUAAAUUUGUUGCACGUUUGUUUUUUGCUUUUCCUUUGUAAAACUUAAAUGGAUGCCUGCAUUUAAAAAAUGUGUUUUCUACCAUUUGCUGCUUAUUUGUUUUGAAAUUUCUGUAAUUAAAAUGCUUUCUGUUUUCUCUUCUCUCUUGUCCCUGGUUGCUGACCCUACUCCCCACUUUUACUAUUGUCUAUUGUGGAUGGUAAGCGGAUGUUUGGCACCUAUUUUCGUGUUGGUUUUUAUGGAACCAAGUUCGGGGAUUUGGAUGAACAAGAAUUUGUUUACAAGGAGCCUGCAAUAACCAAACUUGCAGAGAUAUCUCACAGAUUGGAGGGAUUUUACGGAGAAAGAUUUGGAGAGGAUGUGGUUGAAGUAAUCAAAGACUCUAAUCCUGUAGACAAGUGUAAAUUAGAUCCUAACAAGGCAUAUAUUCAGAUUACCUAUGUGGAGCCAUACUUUGACACAUAUGAGAUGAAGGACAGAAUCACCUAUUUCGACAAAAAUUACAAUCUUCGUCGAUUCAUGUACUGUACACCCUUUACUUUAGAUGGCCGUGCCCAUGGGGAACUUCAUGAACAAUUCAAAAGGAAGACCAUUCUGACUACGUCUCAUGCCUUUCCUUAUAUUAAAACAAGGGUCAAUGUCACUCAUAAAGAAGAGAUCAUCUUAACACCAAUUGAAGUUGCUAUUGAGGACAUGCAGAAAAAGACACAGGAGUUGGCAUUUGCAACACAUCAGGAUCCCGCAGACCCCAAAAUGCUUCAGAUGGUACUCCAGGGAUCUGUAGGCACAACAGUGAAUCAGGGGCCUUUGGAAGUUGCCCAGGUUUUUCUGUCUGAAAUACCUAGUGACCCAAAGCUCUUCAGACAUCAUAAUAAACUGCGACUCUGCUUUAAAGAUUUUACUAAAAGGUGUGAAGAUGCCUUAAGAAAAAAUAAGAGCUUAAUUGGGCCGGAUCAAAAGGAGUAUCAAAGGGAACUGGAGAGAAACUAUCAUCGCCUUAAAGAGGCCCUACAGCCACUGAUCAACAGAAAGAUCCCUCAGUUAUACAAGGCAGUAUUGCCUGUCACCUGCCACAGAGAUUCCUUCAGUCGAAUGAGCCUUCGCAAAAUGGAUCUCUAAACUGAAUGCACUUGUUUUAUUCAUCUGCAAAGAGCCAUGUAUUCAACAUCGAGUGUGAAAAGAUCUAUUGGAAAACAACAUGGAAUGGAAUUCUGGAAAUUAUUAUUCAUUGAAGAAUGCAGUGGCCAAGAAAAUAUCAAAUGUAGAUUGUUAACGCUUGAGAAUCAUGGCUAUGGUUUCUAAUGUUCUGGUAACAAGCUGUUAUCUUUUAAGACAUUUUAAUGACUCAAAGGUACACUAUACAUUUACCAUUAUUUAUACCAUAGCUAAGGUUAAAUUUAUUCACUUUAAGUUCGUAUUUUUUAAUUUAUGUUACCAUUUAUAGAUUCAUUUUGGAACCAUUUUAAAUGUAGUAAUGCUUAUUUUAAAGGUACUAUUAAAUAUGUGAAUGUUUACACUAAU
This 6502-nucleotide small RNA is filed under the name Pan troglodytes (chimpanzee). RNAcentral's name for it is "retained intron". The record is from RNAcentral. Lineage: Eukaryota; Metazoa; Chordata; Mammalia; Primates; Hominidae.